GGGCCGUUAGCUCAGAUGGUAGAGCAGCUGACUCUUAAUCAGCGGGUCGUAGGUUCGAGUCCUACACGGCCCACCA
RNAcentral lists this transfer RNA (76 nucleotides) under Magnetococcales bacterium. RNAcentral's name for it is "tRNA-Lys". It matches the Rfam family "tRNA". From Rfam's summary of the family: Transfer RNA (tRNA) molecules are approximately 80 nucleotides in length. Their secondary structure includes four short double-helical elements and three loops (D, anti-codon, and T loops). RNAcentral also lists the same sequence under 1 other name. Lineage: Bacteria; Pseudomonadati; Pseudomonadota; Magnetococcia; Magnetococcales. The record is from RNAcentral.